RNAcentral lists this ribosomal RNA (434 nucleotides) under uncultured Clostridium sp. RNAcentral's name for it is "partial 16S ribosomal RNA". It matches the Rfam family "Bacterial small subunit ribosomal RNA", at positions 341 to 792 of the family's 1533-position model. The record is from RNAcentral. RNAcentral also lists the same sequence under 1 other name. Lineage: Bacteria; Bacillati; Bacillota; Clostridia; Eubacteriales; Clostridiaceae.
ACGGGAGGCAGCAGUGGGGGAUAUUGCACAAUGGGGGAAACCCUGAUGCAGCGACGCCGCGUGAGUGAAGAAGUAUUUCGGUAUGUAAAGCUCUAUCAGCAGGGAAGAUAAUGACAGUACCUGACUAAGAAGCCCCGGCUAACUACGUGCCAGCAGCCGCGGUAAUACGUAGGGGGCAAGCGUUAUCCGGAUUUACUGGGUGUAAAGGGAGCGUAGGCGGCGACGUAAGUCAGAAGUGAAAGCCCGGGGCUCAACCGCGGGACUGCUUUUGAAACUGCAUUGCUAGAGUGUCGGAGAGGUAAGUGGAAUUCCUAGUGUAGCGGUGAAAUGCGUAGAUAUUAGGAGGAACACCAGUGGCGAAGGCGGCUUACUGGACGAUAACUGACGCUGAGGCUCGAAAGCGUGGGGAGCAAACAGGAUUAGAUACCCUGGUA